This 740-nucleotide ribosomal RNA is filed under the name human gut metagenome. Its description in RNAcentral is "bacterial SSU rRNA". It matches the Rfam family "Bacterial small subunit ribosomal RNA", at positions 542 to 1285 of the family's 1533-position model. The record is from RNAcentral.
UGUCCGGAAUGACUGGGCGUAAAGGGAGUGUAGGUGGCACAGCAAGUUAUAUGUGAAAGCCCGUGGCUCAACCACGGAACUGCAUAUAAAACUACUGAGCUAGAGUGCAGGAGAGGUAAGCGGAAUUCCUAGUGUAGCGGUGGAAUGCGUAGAUAUUAGGAGGAACACCAGAGGCGAAGGCGGCUUACUGGACUGUAACUGACACUGAGGCUCGAAAGCGUGGGGAGCAAACAGGAUUAGAUACCCUGGUAGUCCACGCCCUAAACGAUGGAUACUAGACGAAGGCGGAUUAAUUCCGUCUGUGUCGAAGCAAACGCGAUAAGUAUCCCGCCUGGGGAGUACGGCCGCAAGGUUGAAACUCAAAGAAAUUGACGGGGACCCGCACAAGCAGCGGAGCAUGUGGUUUAAUUCGAAGCAACGCGAAGAACCUUACCAAGACUUGACAUCGUAUGACCGCCAUAGAAAUAUGGAAUCUCUUCGGAGCAUAUAGACAGGUGGUGCAUGGUUGUCGUCAGCUCGUGUCGUGAGAUGUUCGGUUAAGUCCGGCAACGAGCGCAACCCCUAUUAUUAGUUGCCAAUAUUAAGUUAGGAACUCUAAUAAGACUGCCGUGGAUAACACGGAGGAAGGUGGGGAUGACGUCAAAUCAUCAUGCCCCUUACGUCUUGGGCCACACACGUGCUACAAUGGGCGCUACAGAGAGCAGCGAAAUCGCAAGGUGGAGCAAAUCUCAAAAAAGCGU